RNAcentral lists this long non-coding RNA (4594 nucleotides) under Gallus gallus (chicken). The record is from RNAcentral. Lineage: Eukaryota; Metazoa; Chordata; Aves; Galliformes; Phasianidae.
CCUCAACUUCGUUACUGAAAUACAGCUUUUAAUUGGUAGUGAAGCCUGUGUUCUAGUGCGGAGGUAGCUGCCCGGACAAGUUGCUUGCUGUGGGUUUGGACAAGUUACUGUUGCAACAAUUUCCUGAUUGUCUGAGAGGAUAUCAAGGGUGGGGUGCUUGUCUGGUUUGUUUUGGUAGCCUUGAGUGGGGAGGUCUGGAAACGAGUUCCUUGCUGAGAACAGGGAACAUCUGAUUGCAGCAUGGAGUCUGACUUUAUUGAAAACAGAAAAGGUAAUUUUCCCUUCCAGCUUGGAGUGACUGUACAGUGGAUAGCUCUCACUGCACAAGACUUCAGCCUCCCGGCUAUCUUGAGACACGUAACAAACACUAGAAACGCUGCCAGAUAGGUAAGAGAAACUGCUUCGGCCUUUGCCUGCUAAAGAUUUUAGAAGAAGGAAGUCAGUUCCUUAAAAACUUAUUAGAUGUUCUAGGCAAUUAGCCAACCUAUUCAAAGGAACAUAUUGUUCUCCUUACCUACUUCGUGUGCUGUCAGUGGGAAGGUAGCUGCAGUUUCAGGCCUGCGUGUGCUGUGCUGUGCGUGGCUCAUUGUCUGUCCCAACCACCGUACUCUGGGCCGGCACUGGGAUCAAAAGGCCACAGUUUCAAGACUGCUUCUGUGAGAAUAAUCAGUAUCCCCAGGAUUUGAUUCUGUAUCUGAGCAGCUCCCACCUUCAUUAGCUCUGCAGGAAGCUGGGAUGAGGAGGGUGUGAGUUAAGGAAGAUCAUUUGCACCAGCAGAUGGCACAGUCAGCAAGGCCUUGUGCUUCUGAGCUGCUCGGGCAUAUGAGGUAUGGGCAGCUGAUGAAACCCUGCUGCCUCAGCACAUGCUGGGCACUGCGUUAACCCACACUGCUGCUGGUUUUUUUAGCCUGAAAUGCAGAUUUCCAGUGAACUACCAUAACUAAGCCUAAAACCGGUUGGUGCAAGCUUUCUUCAGCUGGUGUUAAGCAUCUUUGCUUACAGUAAUGAGUUUUAUCUUUAAUAAAGAACAGUUUUAUAAUACAGCUGUAGUCUGUGUAAAUGUAUAAAACCCUAUUUAAUAUCUGGGUAAAACUUAGCUUAGUUCAUGAGUAUGAUAACUGAACUGUAUGAUAAUGUUAUCAGGAUGCACAUGCAAUCUCCUUUACAGAAACUGCUUCUUUUGGUAAGUGUGUUUACUGAAAAAGUGGUCAACAUGCACAGUACAAUCAGAAGUAUCUCUGCACUUUCUAAUAGACCACUUAUCUUUAUGCUAGCUUGCAGUUAUCUUUUUAUUGAUGCUAUGUUUAAAUAUUAAGCACCUUUAGGAAAUUCAAAAUGGAACCCAGUGCUUUGGAUGAUUCCUGUUCCAGCAUAAGAGGAUUUUUUGUGUUUAUUUGUAUGCUGAUCAGAACCUGAGAAAAUGGCAAGUAAGAGCAAACCUGAGUUUGUUACUCUGAGGAGACGCUGCUGACCUUCACAGAAGCCUGGCAGCUUUCUGAAGCUGUGACUUGUAAGGUGCGGGCUGCUGCUGGUGGCAUAAUGAUAGGCGGAGGCCUCAACCUGGUGUAAGGUUCAGCCUUGAUGAGCCAUUUGGCAAAAAGUAAGUCUUUUUUCACCACAAGCUCAGCUCUGUACCACAGGCUGUUAUAGCACAACCAGGCUAGCAUGGGUGUGAAAAAUCUCACCUCACAGCUAUAGCAAAGGUCAUGUUGUAUACAUGUCCAGAAGAGGAAUCUGCUGGGACUUCAGCAAGACCAGGCUGACUUCUGUGGACCUCCUCUUAGUUCUCAGCAUCACAGGAACAGCCACCAAAAAUACAGAUGCACUCAGAGGGCUUGGUGGUGAGUGGCAAAAGUAUUCAAGCUCUGAAAUCAGCUCUGAAUUUCCCCAAGGAAGUUUGUUUUCCUGUUUUAAAACCUUCCUGCUAUGCUCGGGAUUCACUCUUUCCCAGUUCCUACAGCUCUGCUUGCAGUAGGGCGGGCUGAAUUGGGUGGCCUCCUUCUUGGUGAUAGAGCAGUUGACAGCUUUAGUUUUUGAGGUGGAUCGUUUUGUUUCUCAGCCUUUUCUGAAGCACUCAAGAGGGCUAUGUAGAUUGAAAACAUGAUGGGCUGAAAUAUGAAGUAAAAGCAUGCCUGGUCUGUUGUUUCACCUCAUAUUCUCCUAGUGUGUCCUGAACUUAUUAUCCUAGAGCGGAAGGGGACGCUUACAGGGCCGGGUGAGCGCAGUGCAGUUCAUGGAGCCUCUGCAGCACAAUGUUUGCUGCCAUGUGGCUGAAUUACAACUCUGGGAAGGCUGCUCGAGGUAAGGCUCAGAUGGAUUAAAGCUGCUCUGCCUGUCCUCGUUUUGAGCUGUGUGGGGGAUGGCUCGCCUGCCGCCUGUGGCACAGUGCCCAAACGCUUGCACUGAUUGUAGCUUUGAGACCGUAACCAAAAUGAUCGUAAGUACGUGCAAUUAGUCACACUAUUUCAUUAAGAUGAUUUCUGUAUUACGUGUUUAUAUUGAUGAUAUUGCCUAGGCAAUAGAAAUGGGUGUAUUUCCUGUCUUGAGAGUAAUUAGAGUCUCACUGUCUAGCGCUCCGCCUCCAGAAGAAAUUAUUCCUUACAGUUCCAAUCAUUUUGUUUACUUAAGCUUCUUUGCUGUUUCUCUGUGCAGUGACACCACUCUGGAGUCUCAUUAACAAAUGUGAGAGUGAAUUUUUAAGUAUCACUCUGGCCAUGGGUAGCAGCAGGCUGUUUGUUAUAGUAGUGCUCAGCUUCGACUGAGCUGUUCCAUUUUAAGGCUUGCUGAUGCUUGAAGUUGUUCCAGGUUAAGCCCAUAUGUGGACACCUUAUUCUGGAAUAGGGACUUCCUGUAAAGCUGAUCCCUCUCUGGAGCAGGGCCAGGUGCUCUUCUGGAGUUAGAGUGCCUGCCUGUGGGGUUCAGCAGGAGCCUACAGGUGGUCUGAUGAACAGAAGUGCCUCAUUUGAAGUUCUUAGAAAGCCAUUGCCACUGAGUUAAUGCUUAGGAAAAUUGGAGCUCCGUGUGAGCUGCUAUCCUCGCAGCACGGCUCCUCACCCAGCGCAGCCGGCAGCCAUUGGAGCUCUGCUCAUCUUACGGUAUGCAGUAUGGAGCCUUGAGGAGCAAGUGACUUGGAAUAGGAAAACAAGUGCCUGGCUCGCUUUUGUCUGGAUAGAGACAAUUGUUGUGCCCCAAAGGAAGGAAGAAAGCAGCUGAGAGCAGAGCAUCCUGCUCAGGGAGUAGAAAGCCAGUGCCUGGCUCCGUGAUGAACAGCUCUGAAGGAAGGAGCAUUACCCAGAGGGGAGGCUGAGAGCAGAGCUGGUGCCAGGCUCCAGACACACAGACCAGCUGAUGGCUCUGUGGCAGUGUGGGGACUGGGCAGGGUGUUCUGAGAGGUGAGUCUGGCUUCAGGACAAUGGGCACUGCCUGAUGAUGUGAGUUUGGGGCUGUGUGUUGCCUGCAGGUGCCCCUAUGGGGUGUGAGGCUGCCCUAUAGCCCAGUGAGCAGCAGGGCUGUUUGUCCCACGCCAUCAUGCUUCCCCAUCCAAGGCAGCUGUGGUGGUUUACCUCCCGUCUCUCUGGGCACAAGUUCAGCAUCGUGCCUUUUGGCUCCCAGGAGAAGGUACAGAGGGAUCCUCUGCUCCCUGCAGAGUCUGCGCCAGCUGUCCCACAUCCCUUUCUGCAAUAAAAGAGGAGUGCUUGACUCUUAGUUCUGAGAAAUUGGAUAGCAUUUGUAGUAGUGUUUCUAAGGUCACCCCUGUCCUGCUGCCACUGUAUUUCCUGGAAUCUUUAGUAGCACGUGGCUUGCUUUGAAGACAAAAUGAUGGCAAGCUGGAGUGUAAAUACUUCCUUAAUCCUAUAGAUAGAGCUUGGUACUGUCCCAGGCGAGUGAGUGCUGUAGGAGAUUCCGCAGAACCAGGGUGCAGCCGAAGAGAUGCCAUUGAGUGUUUGAUGGGAGAGUCCGGGGGCAAACAAACCUAGAGAGAAAACUUGGGGUGGAGCAGGUGCUGCUGCAGGCUUGUGGUGGGUCUGAAGGUCUGCUAACCAACAGGAACAGACUGGGACGUGAGGCUUUGAUGGUUAGUGUUAAUUUGCUUAAGUAAGAAACUUGUCCUUAAACAAGAAGCCCAAAGCCGUGUGAUUGUUAGCUUCUGUUUUAUGUAGGUCUCCUGGGAACUUUCCCUUUAGCUCACAGACCUCUGUCUGACCACAAGGACUCACCAUUUCUUUAAAUAUUGACUACAUCAUGUGAUAGUGGGAUUUGUGUGAGAUAAUGGCACUGAAUCACAGGGCUGAUACACGGGCUUCCAGCAGAUUACAGAACCUUGUCAGCAGAGACAGAUCUUCAGGGACCUGAGAGUCUUACACAGAGUAUUUUUUGCUAAGACAUCUGGAAGGGCAGGCAAGGAGGGGGAGCUGGCCAUUAGGUACUUCCAUCAGGCCAUGGAUGGCUGUAUGGUGUGGCUGAUAAAAGCCAUGAGCUUCACCAACCUGAGCCCUGACAACAUGUGUCCUUCUUGGAUCAUCACAGUUGAGCCCACUGGGAAGAUGGCUAUGCAGAAGAGUGAAGGAGCUUUCAGUUUUCAUAACCGACUGCC